UUACACAUGCAGUCGAACGGUGAACACGGAGCUUGCUCUGUGGGAUCAGUGGCGAACGGGUGAGUAACACGUGAGCAACCUGCCCCUGACUCUGGGAUAAGCGCUGGAAACGGCGUCUAAUACUGGAUAUGUGACGUGACCGCAUGGUCUGCGUCUGGAAAGAAUUUCGGUUGGGGAUGGGCUCGCGGCCUAUCAGCUUGUUGGUGAGGUAAUGGCUCACCAAGGCGUCGACGGGUAGCCGGCCUGAGAGGGUGACCGGCCACACUGGGACUGAGACACGGCCCAGACUCCUACGGGAGGCAGCAGUGGGGAAUAUUGCACAAUGGGCGCAAGCCUGAUGCAGCAACGCCGCGUGAGGGACGACGGCCUUCGGGUUGUAAACCUCUUUUAGCAGGGAAGAAGCGAAAGUGACGGUACCUGCAGAAAAAGCGCCGGCUAACUACGUGCCAGCAGCCGCGGUAAUACGUAGGGCGCAAGCGUUAUCCGGAAUUAUUGGGCGUAAAGAGCUCGUAGGCGGUUUGUCGCGUCUGCUGUGAAAUCCGGAGGCUCAACCUCCGGCCUGCAGUGGGUACGGGCAGACUAGAGUGCGGUAGGGGAGAUUGGAAUUCCUGGUGUANCGGUGGAAUGCGCAAAUAUCGGGAGGAACACCAAUGGCGAAGGCAGAUCUCUGGGCCGUAACUGACGCUGAAGAGCGAAUUGGUGGGGAGCAAACAGGCUUAGAUACCCUGGUAGUCCACCCCGUACACGUUGGGAACUAG
RNAcentral lists this ribosomal RNA (758 nucleotides) under Microbacterium sp. D91. Its description in RNAcentral is "bacterial SSU rRNA". It matches the Rfam family "Bacterial small subunit ribosomal RNA", at positions 49 to 819 of the family's 1533-position model. The record is from RNAcentral. Lineage: Bacteria; Bacillati; Actinomycetota; Actinomycetes; Micrococcales; Microbacteriaceae.